AGUGAACGCUGGCGGUAGGCCUAACACAUGCAAGUCGAACGGCAGCACAGUAAGAGCUUGCUCUUACGGGUGGCGAGUGGCGGACGGGUGAGGAAUACAUCGGAAUCUACUUUUUCGUGGGGGAUAACGUAGGGAAACUUACGCUAAUACCGCAUACGACCUACUGGUGAAGGCAGGGGAUCUUCGGACCUUGCGCGGUUGAAUGAGCCGAUGUCGGAUUAGCUAGUUGGGGGGGUAAAGGCCCACCAAGGCGACGAUCCGUAGCUGGUCUGAGAGGAUGAUCAGCCACAUUGGAACUGAGACACGGUCCAGACUCCUACGGGAGGCAGCAGUGGGGAAUAUUGGACAAUGGGCGCAAGCCUGAUCCAGCCAUACCGCGUGGGUGAAGAAGGCCUUCGGGUUGUAAAGCCCUUUUGUUGGGAAAGAAAAGCAGCAGGUUAAUACCCCGCUGUUCUGACGGUACCCAAAGAAUAAGCACCGGCUAACUUCGUG
RNAcentral lists this ribosomal RNA (492 nucleotides) under uncultured bacterium. Its description in RNAcentral is "partial 16S ribosomal RNA". It matches the Rfam family "Bacterial small subunit ribosomal RNA", at positions 29 to 507 of the family's 1533-position model. The record is from RNAcentral.